CUUGAUCGAACCGAGCCACAGUGGCUGAUCGUUCGGCCGGUCCUGCCCGUAGGUCGCCAGCAGCGCCUGCGCUUC
Molecule: antisense RNA, 75 nt
Filed under: Mycobacterium conspicuum
Lineage: Bacteria; Bacillati; Actinomycetota; Actinomycetes; Mycobacteriales; Mycobacteriaceae
Description: ASpks TB sRNA
Rfam family: ASpks TB sRNA
Source: Rfam by way of RNAcentral